RNAcentral lists this unclassified non-coding RNA (335 nucleotides) under soil metagenome. RNAcentral's name for it is "partial contains 5.8S ribosomal RNA, internal transcribed spacer 2, and large subunit ribosomal RNA". The stretch from base 1 to 121 matches the Rfam family "5.8S ribosomal RNA", at positions 35 to 154 of the family's 154-position model. The record is from RNAcentral.
GAUGAAGAACGCAGCGAAAUGCGAUAAGUAAUGCGAAUUGCAGAAUUUCCGUGAGUCAUCGAAUCUUUGAACGCACAUUGCGCCCACUGGUAUUCCGGUGGGCAUGCCUGUUCGAGCGUCAUUUCAACCAUCAAGCCCCAGGCUUGUGUUGGAGCCCUGCGGCUGCCGCAGCCUCCCAAAACCAGUGGCGGGCUCGCUAUCACACCGAGUGCAGUAGUUUACUCUUCGCUCAGGGCGUGUGGCGGGUGCUAGCCGUGAAACCCCCAACUUCUCAAGGUUGACCUCGGAUCAGGUAGGAAUACCCGCUGAACUUAAGCAUAUCAAUAAGCGGAGGA